RNAcentral lists this ribosomal RNA (2903 nucleotides) under Escherichia coli DEC15D. RNAcentral describes it as "bacterial LSU rRNA". It matches the Rfam family "Bacterial large subunit ribosomal RNA". Lineage: Bacteria; Pseudomonadati; Pseudomonadota; Gammaproteobacteria; Enterobacterales; Enterobacteriaceae. The record is from RNAcentral.
UUAAGCGACUAAGCGUACACGGUGGAUGCCCUGGCAGUCAGAGGCGAUGAAGGACGUGCUAAUCUGCGAUAAGCGUCGGUAAGGUGAUAUGAACCGUUAUAACCGGCGAUUUCCGAAUGGGGAAACCCAGUGUGUUUCGACACACUAUCAUUAACUGAAUCCAUAGGUUAAUGAGGCGAACCGGGGGAACUGAAACAUCUAAGUACCCCGAGGAAAAGAAAUCAACCGAGAUUCCCCCAGUAGCGGCGAGCGAACGGGGAGCAGCCCAGAGCCUGAAUCAGUGUGUGUGUUAGUGGAAGCGUCUGGAAAGGCGCGCGAUACAGGGUGACAGCCCCGUACACAAAAAUGCACAUGCUGUGAGCUCGAUGAGUAGGGCGGGACACGUGGUAUCCUGUCUGAAUAUGGGGGGACCAUCCUCCAAGGCUAAAUACUCCUGACUGACCGAUAGUGAACCAGUACCGUGAGGGAAAGGCGAAAAGAACCCCGGCGAGGGGAGUGAAAAAGAACCUGAAACCGUGUACGUACAAGCAGUGGGAGCACGCUUAGGCGUGUGACUGCGUACCUUUUGUAUAAUGGGUCAGCGACUUAUAUUCUGUAGCAAGGUUAACCGAAUAGGGGAGCCGAAGGGAAACCGAGUCUUAACUGGGCGUUAAGUUGCAGGGUAUAGACCCGAAACCCGGUGAUCUAGCCAUGGGCAGGUUGAAGGUUGGGUAACACUAACUGGAGGACCGAACCGACUAAUGUUGAAAAAUUAGCGGAUGACUUGUGGCUGGGGGUGAAAGGCCAAUCAAACCGGGAGAUAGCUGGUUCUCCCCGAAAGCUAUUUAGGUAGCGCCUCGUGAAUUCAUCUCCGGGGGUAGAGCACUGUUUCGGCAAGGGGGUCAUCCCGACUUACCAACCCGAUGCAAACUGCGAAUACCGGAGAAUGUUAUCACGGGAGACACACGGCGGGUGCUAACGUCCGUCGUGAAGAGGGAAACAACCCAGACCGCCAGCUAAGGUCCCAAAGUCAUGGUUAAGUGGGAAACGAUGUGGGAAGGCCCAGACAGCCAGGAUGUUGGCUUAGAAGCAGCCAUCAUUUAAGAAAGCGUAAUAGCUCACUGGUCGAGUCGGCCUGCGCGGAAGAUGUAACGGGGCUAAACCAUGCACCGAAGCUGCGGCAGCGACGCUUAUGCGUUGUUGGGUAGGGGAGCGUUCUGUAAGCCUGCGAAGGUGUGCUGUGAGGCAUGCUGGAGGUAUCAGAAGUGCGAAUGCUGACAUAAGUAACGAUAAAGCGGGUGAAAAGCCCGCUCGCCGGAAGACCAAGGGUUCCUGUCCAACGUUAAUCGGGGCAGGGUGAGUCGACCCCUAAGGCGAGGCCGAAAGGCGUAGUCGAUGGAAACAGGUUAAUAUUCCUGUACUUGGUGUUACUGCGAAGGGGGACGGAGAAGGCUAUGUUGGCCGGGCGACGGUUGUCCCGGUUUUAAGCGUGUAGGCUGGUUUUCCAGGCAAAUCCGGAAAAUCAAGGCUGAGGCGUGAUGACGAGGCACUACGGUGCUGAAGCAACAAAUGCCCUGCUUCCAGGAAAAGCCUCUAAGCAUCAGGUAACAUCAAAUCGUACCCCAAACCGACACAGGUGGUCAGGUAGAGAAUACCAAGGCGCUUGAGAGAACUCGGGUGAAGGAACUAGGCAAAAUGGUGCCGUAACUUCGGGAGAAGGCACGCUGAUAUGUAGGUGAAGUCCCUCGCGGAUGGAGCUGAAAUCAGUCGAAGAUACCAGCUGGCCUGCAACUGUUUAUUAAAAACACAGCACUGUGCAAACACGAAAGUGGACGUAUACGGUGUGACGCCUGCCCGGUAGCCGGAAAGGUUAAUUGAUGGGGUUAGCGCAAGCGAAGCUCUUGAUCGAAGCCCCGGUAAACGGCGGCCGUAACUAUAACGGUCCUAAGGUAGCGAAAUUCCUUGUCGGGUAAGUUCCGACCUGCACGAAUGGCGUAAUGAUGGCCAGGCUGUCUCCACCCGAGACUCAGUGAAAUUGAACUCGCUGUGAAGAUGCAGUGUACCCGCGGCAAGACGGAAAGACCCCGUGAACCUUUACUAUAGCUUGACACUGAACAUUGAGCCUUGAUGUGUAGGAUAGGUGGGAGGCUUUGAAGUGUGGACGCCAGUCUGCAUGGAGCCGACCUUGAAAUACCACCCUUUAAUGUUUGAUGUUCUAACGUUGACCCGUGAUCCGGGUUGCGGACAGUGUCUGGUGGGUAGUUUGACUGGGGCGGUCUCCUCCUAAAGAGUAACGGAGGAGCACGAAGGUUGGCUAAUCCUGGUCGGACAUCAGGAGGUUAGUGCAAUGGCAUAAGCCAGCUUGACUGCGAGCGUGACGGCGCGAGCAGGUGCGAAAGCAGGUCAUAGUGAUCCGGUGGUUCUGAAUGGAAGGGCCAUCGCUCAACGGAUAAAAGGUACUCCGGGGAUAACAGGCUGAUACCGCCCAAGAGUUCAUAUCGACGGCGGUGUUUGGCACCUCGAUGUCGGCUCAUCACAUCCUGGGGCUGAAGUAGGUCCCAAGGGUAUGGCUGUUCGCCAUUUAAAGUGGUACGCGAGCUGGGUUUAGAACGUCGUGAGACAGUUCGGUCCCUAUCUGCCGUGGGCGCUGGAGAACUGAGGGGGGCUGCUCCUAGUACGAGAGGACCGGAGUGGACGCAUCACUGGUGUUCGGGUUGUCAUGCCAAUGGCACUGCCCGGUAGCUAAAUGCGGAAGAGAUAAGUGCUGAAAGCAUCUAAGCACGAAACUUGCCCCGAGAUGAGUUCUCCCUGACUCCUUGAGAGUCCUGAAGGAACGUUGAAGACGACGACGUUGAUAGGCCGGGUGUGUAAGCGCAGCGAUGCGUUGAGCUAACCGGUACUAAUGAACCGUGAGGCUUAACCUU